Molecule: long non-coding RNA, 593 nt
Filed under: Homo sapiens (human)
Lineage: Eukaryota; Metazoa; Chordata; Mammalia; Primates; Hominidae
Description: HSALNT0395670
Source: RNAcentral
GUCACAAUCAGCUAGGCUCUGAAGACAAAUCCGAGUUCAGGCUGUGGAUUGGCUGAUCCCUCAUGAAUAUGUAGAUUACUCUCACCCUUCACCUCGCUCUGGAAAAACCAGCCACCAUGUUGUAAGGAUGCUCAAGUAGCACUAUGGAGAUUCACACGUGGCAAAGAGCUGAGGCCUCCCACCAACAGCCACAUGAGGGAGCCAGAGUAGGAGUGGCUCCUCCAGCCCCAGUCGAACCUUCAGAUGUGACAGACUUGGCUGCUGACAGUUUGCAAUCUCAUGAGACCCUGAGCCAGAACCACCCAGCUAAAUCAGUCCUGGACUCCUGAUCAACAGAAAUGGUGUAGACCAAAGAGAGGCGUUUUGAACAUUAAGACGCUUUGCUGCUUCUCACCUGAAACACGUAACAGGAACACCAACCUCUUCAGCCGCGGGAAAUCUUCUUUGACACAAAACUCAAACCGAGUCAACCCAAAGUUCCAAGUUCUUUGCUUUCUCUUCUGUGUGUGUGUUGGUUUGUCCCAAAAGUCAGUUUGCAAGUUGAAACUUCAUGAAAUUACUCGUAGCAGAAAUAAAGUACAUUGUACAAAUCA